UACGACUACAUAUCAGGCAUAUCAAUAAGCGGAGGAAAAGAAACUGACAAGGAUUCCCUUAGUAACGGCGAGUGAAGCGGGAAGAGCUCAAAUUUGAAAUCUUCAAGGUUUUACCUUGACGAAUUGUAGUUUAAAGAAGUGUUUUCUGUUGAAGUUUUGGUAAAAGUUCUUUGGAAUAGGACAUCAUAGAGGGUGAGAAUCCCGUAUUUGACCAUUAUUUUCAGCUGUGUGAUACACUUUCAAAGAGUCGGAUUGUUUGGGAAUGCAGUCCAAAAUGGGUGGUAAAUUUCAUCUAAAGCUAAAUAUUGGCGAGAGACCGAUAGCGAACAAGUACCGUGAGGGAAAGAUGAAAAGAACUUUGAAAAGAGAGUUAAACAGUACGUGAAAUUGUCAAAAGGGAAGCGUUUGACACCAGUGUUGUUUUCUCGAAAAUCAAUUAAAAAUGGUUGGAUUUUGUGUUGUAUUGACCUUAACAGCUUGCUUCACUCUUUUCCAGCUUUUUUUAAUGCACUUUUCGUUUAACAAGUCAACAUCAGUUUCUUUUGUUGUAAAAGGGUCAUUGGAAGGUGGCUUUCUCUUCGGAGAAAGUGUUUAUAGCCUUUGAUCUCUGCAAUCGGAGAGACUGAGGUCUGCAGCGUAGAUCCUUCGGGGUUAGAUACAUUUGUGCUAAGCUACAGCUUUUCAUAGACAACUUGUUGACUAUGAUUCAGUCAUGUGACUUACUCGCUUAUGCUAUUUUACCUACGCUUAGGAUGUUGAGCGCAUGUCUCUCUCU
RNAcentral lists this ribosomal RNA (775 nucleotides) under uncultured Neocallimastigales. RNAcentral describes it as "partial large subunit ribosomal RNA". It matches the Rfam family "Eukaryotic large subunit ribosomal RNA", at positions 24 to 616 of the family's 3401-position model. The record is from RNAcentral. Lineage: Eukaryota; Fungi; Neocallimastigomycota; Neocallimastigomycetes; Neocallimastigales.